RNAcentral lists this ribosomal RNA (408 nucleotides) under uncultured bacterium. Its description in RNAcentral is "partial 16S ribosomal RNA". It matches the Rfam family "Bacterial small subunit ribosomal RNA", at positions 28 to 526 of the family's 1533-position model. The record is from RNAcentral.
GACGAACGCUGGCGGCGUGCUUAACACAUGCAAGUCGAACGAAGUGGCGAACGGGUGAGUAACGCGUAAUCAACCUGCCCUUCAGAGGGGGACAACAGUUGGAAACGACUGCUAAUACCGCAUAGUGAAGGAGGGGAUUGCGUCUGAUUAGAUAGUUGGAGGGGUAACGGCCCACCAAGGAGAUGAUCAGUAGCCGGGUCGAGAGGAGGAACCACCCCUGUGGGACUGAGACACGGCCCAGACUUCUACCAAGAACAACAAUUAUUAAUCUUCCGCAAUUCACGAAAGUCUUACGCAGCAACGCCGGCUGAGUGAUGACGACCUUCGGGUUCUCAAACUCUGUUAAUCGGGACGCGGUACCGGAAUAGAAAGCCACGGCUAACUACGUGCCAGCAGCCGCGGUAAUUC